ACCCGUAGGAAGCCAGCGGGGAGGGCAGGAGGGCGAUGCCGAAAACACGGCUGAAAAUCCCUCCUUUUCUGUUUGUACCCCGGAGGGGAAUGAAAUUAUCUCUCUGCUUCUCACCGGCGACUGAAAAGCUGGCUGGGGGCCAGCCCUGGAAUUACAGGUGGAAACAAUAGCUGUCAGCACCCAGGUGGAGCUGGGAGCAAAUGCAAUAUAAGCGCGCGGCCAGGAGCUGCAUGGCACGGAGAGGUGCUGGGGCUGCAGCAGCAGGAGCGGCUCUGCCAUGGGCAUGGGGAAAAGAGGGGAAAGUUGUGCCCUUUUUGGGGUGUAGGAGGGGUCCUGGGGGUUCACCAGGACCCCUCCUGGUCUUGGGUGCUCAGCAGCUUGGUGAUGGUUUUGUGUCUGGGGAUGAGGGCAGGAGGGGUCCCUCCCCAUCCCGGGGUCCCUUUGGACGCUGUGGUGUCACUCGGACCAGCCAGGGCACCAAAGUGGAAGAACAGCCCCCAGGGCUUUGUCUGCGGUAGCUGGCAAAGACAAAUCCUGCCCAAAACAACCUCAGCCUGCCCUAACCAACCUCAGCCCGCCCUGAACAACCUCAGCAGUGUUUGGCUUUCGGGUUUCUUGCUGUUUCUACCAGCUGAGCCCUAGGCUGGAGCAAACAGACGCAGGGCUGCGGGAUGGCCGUCCCACGUUGUGCAAUAACGCCGGUGACUGACUCGCAAGGAGACGGCGUACGAGUUCUUGGGGAUCUCCUCUGCAAACCCCAGCCCUGCCCCGAGACAAUCACUGCCUUGUGCUCGUGGUUGUAAGGGGCACGGGGAGGCUGCCGGGCGCUCAGCUCAUCUCGUGCAAUCCUUCUGCUGCGCCUGAAGCAGAACACAAAACCUGGAUGGAAAUAUUACGGGAGAGAACGGCCUGGAUCUGCUUCCCUGUUACUGCAGAACAAUUCCCCUGCCAUAAAAGUACCUCCGAGAGCCAAGGGAAGAUUAGCUCAUAGGGAAAAGGGCGUGCUGGGGAACAAAGGAGGGAGGUGCUGCUGGGGGCCUGGUGGACGGAUAGAUGGAUGGAUGGAUGGACAGACGGAUGGAUGGAUGGAUAGAUCCAUCCGUCCGUCCUGGGGAGCUGGGGAUCCGUCCUGGGGAGCUGGGGAGCUCUUGUCUUGGCGCAGGUUUCACAGCAGCCCCUCUUUGCCCUCUGUUCCUGGGUGGUGGUGGCUGUGCCGCUGUGCAAAAACCCUCCCGAGACCAGGGAAACGUCUCCAACAACAAGGGAGCCCCCCCUGGGGCCUCCCGAGUCAUUAAACAAAUUAAGUUGUUUAGAACAAGGAGGCCCAGGUGACUGGGUGUGAAAGCCCCCGGGGGGCCUCUGUAAUUGCUGAGUGAAGGCAGCGCUGGUGGGUGGAAGGGAGCCGAGGAGCCAGGGGGGGAUUUUUGCCUCCUCCCCCCCUUCCCAGCUCCAGGUCGGGCUUCCUGGGGCACCUGGGGACUCGGCCACCCGGGCAGCUGGAAGCCCCAAGUGAUGCUCAGGCCUGGAGAGCUUCACUCCUUUAACCGGACCCUGGCUCCCACCCCCGAGGGGUUUCACUGCCUCUGACACCAUCCUUGGCCUCGCUCCUUGCAGAGCUGUGGAAGCAGCUGCUGAGUGAAGGGGAUUUUUUUUUUUUUCCUUCCUUGCGCAAAGCUUUUUCCCUGCUGCUCUUUGCAGAGGUGGCUCUUAACCCUCCGUGACUCCAGAGGGAAGCGGAGCGGGGCUGCUGCGGUUGUCAGCUUUGCUGCCUUGCUCCUGGGAGGAGGUCGGAGCUCUGAACUUCUGCCCCGAGCCCUUUGCCCCAGCCCAGCAUCGCCGCCGAGGUGGCGCGGGAGCCUCCCUGCCCGCUGCACCUCGGCGAGCGUGACCUGGGAGGAGCAGCGGCGGCAGCUUUCCAAGGAAAGAUGCAAAAUUCCCAAACCCAGCUGCCUCUUCCUUCGCAGCGUUAGACACGCCGUGUUUAGACGAGAUGACAAGCUGAUAAGGCGCGGCGCUGCAAUCUGCCUUGGCGAGCUGCGAGUGGGAGCAGGAGCCUUCUCCGGGCUCCGUGCGUAAGGAGACGCGGGGUCCCUGCUCUGAAAGGCUGGAAAAAGGUGCAAGAAGUGGGGCAGCCGAGCUCUGAGGCUGUUCCCAACUCCAGCCACCAGCUCAGCACCUUCCCCAGCUCGUCCCGUGGGAGCUGGGCUGGAGACCAGGUCGGGGAGCUGCGCUGUGCCCAGGAGCUUUGGGCUCUCUCAUAGCAAUACCAGAGGAAAGUGCUCAGCGCUGUGACAAGGAGCCUUAUCUUUACCGUGCAGUGGGGUAGGAUGUGCUCAGCGCUGCCUGCGGAGCUGCUUUUGCAGCCUGGCAUUUCUUUCCUGGGGUCAGUUUUUUGCUCUGCCCCGCGCGGAGAGGUGAAGCCCUGCUCCUGAUGCAUCUCCCCGAACCCUUCCCAUCUCCCACCCAGGAUUUGGGGCAAACUUUGCUAACCCCUGAUUCUCAGCAGGGCAUUCAGGGGGUGACAAAUCACCACACUCGGAGGAGCACCACUAAUUCUGUGAAGACCUUUCGGGUUGCUGUUUUAGGGCUGGCUGUGCGGGGAGCUGCGUGGGCUCAUUUCUCCCGCAGAGCUGUGCCGCAGGAGCCGGGCUCCCAGCCCGUGCUGGAAUCGGACACCCUGAGUGCGAUCCAGCAAAAGCCCCCGCUCCGAGCAGGGUGGGAGCUGCUCCUUUCCAAGGGUUAAGACGCAGACAGGUCUCAGCAAGGUCUUGGCCGUGGCUGCAGCGAGCUGCCCGCACCCUGCACGGCGUGGAAAACCCUGGUGAGAGCGGAGAAGUGGCCGCGGUUCCUCCUCCGGCGGGGGUGGUUUCCCUCCCUUCUCCCUUUCCCUCCCCCUCUCCUUGAAGCUCUCAGAAACAAGUGCUGUUUUAUUGCCGAUAAUUUACCAGCUGCACAAAGGCUGCCUUGUAACGCAGGGCUCCAGAUGUUUAGCAUUUCACAAAAAUCUAAUCGUAAGGUACCUGUUCCGCUGGCGCACCAGCUGACCUGGCUGGGGGAGAGCCGCCUCGCAGCCUUCUCCUGCCUUUCCCAGGCAGAUCCCAACCCCGCAGAGCCCUGGGGUUUGCUGGUGCUGAGCUGCUGGGGGGUGCAGGGGCUGGGCAGAGCUGGAUGAGAGCAGCUUUCCCUGUGGAGUCCAUGGGCUCGUGGCUACGGGCGCAGCGGUGGUGCCGGAGGGUGCCAAGGGGCCGUGCAAUGUCUGCUCCAUGCCUGUGCCCCCUGCUCGAGGGAAUUGGGCACCCCUGGGUGGGAGAU
Anas platyrhynchos (mallard) is the source of this 3312-nucleotide non-coding RNA. Lineage: Eukaryota; Metazoa; Chordata; Aves; Anseriformes; Anatidae. The record is from RefSeq and is a predicted model, not a curated record.